UACGUAGGUGGCAAGCGUUGUCCGGAUUUAUUGGGUUUAAAGGGUGCGUAGGCGGUUUUGUAAGUCAGUGGUGAAAUACUCCAGCUUAACUGGAGGGGUGCCAAUGAUACUGCGAGACUUGAGUACAGAUGAGGUAGGCGGAAUUGACGGUGUAGCGGUGAAAUGCAUAGAUAUCGUCAAGAACACCGAUAGCGAAGGCAGCUUACUGGGCUGUAACUGACGCUGAGGCACGAAAGUGUGGGGAUCAAACAGG
This 253-nucleotide ribosomal RNA is filed under the name uncultured bacterium. RNAcentral's name for it is "partial 16S ribosomal RNA". It matches the Rfam family "Bacterial small subunit ribosomal RNA", at positions 524 to 776 of the family's 1533-position model. The record is from RNAcentral.